RNAcentral lists this ribosomal RNA (519 nucleotides) under uncultured bacterium. RNAcentral's name for it is "bacterial SSU rRNA". It matches the Rfam family "Bacterial small subunit ribosomal RNA", at positions 355 to 893 of the family's 1533-position model. The record is from RNAcentral.
UGGGGAAUCUUGCACAAUGGGCGAAAGCCUGAUGCAGCAACGCCGCGUGCGGGAAGACAGCCCUAGGGUUGUAAACCGCUUUCAGCAGGGAAGAAACUGACGGUACCUGCAGAAGAAGAUGCGGCCAACUACGUGCCAGCAGCCGCGGUGACACGUAGGCAUCAAGCGUUAUCCGGAUUUAUUGGGCGUAAAGAGCUCGUAGGCGGUUCGGUAAGUCGGGUGUGAAACUCUGGGCUCAACCCAGAGAGGCCACUCGAUACUGCUGUGACUAGAGUGCGGUAGGGGAGCGGGGAAUUCCUGGUGUAGCGGUGAAAUGCGCAGAUAUCAGGAGGAACACCAGUGGCGAAGGCGCCGCUCUGGGCCGGAACUGACGCUGAGGAGCGAAAGCGUGGGGAGCGAACAGGAUUAGAUACCCUGGUAGUCCACACCGUAAACGAUGAAUGCCAGUCGUCGGGUAGCAUGCUAUUCGGUGACACACCUAACGGAUUAAGCAUUCCGCCUGGGAGUACGGUCGCAAGA